Molecule: small RNA, 528 nt
Filed under: Pongo abelii (Sumatran orangutan)
Lineage: Eukaryota; Metazoa; Chordata; Mammalia; Primates; Hominidae
Description: retained intron
Source: RNAcentral
GCCAAGAGGAGCAAUUUUCGUGCCAUCAGCAAAAAGCUGAAUUUGAUCCCACGUGUGGAUGGCGAGUAUGAUCUGAAAGUACCCCGAGACAUGGCUUACGUCUUCAGUGGUGCUUAUGUGCCCCUGAGCUGCCGAAUCAUUGAGCAGGCUACAGGUUCAUUUUCCUGACGACAGCAGUCACAAACAGCGCUCGCCUUAUGGAGGCCAUGAGUGAGGUGAAAGCCUGAUGUUUUUCCCGGCCAGUGUUGACACCUUCCCUGAACACAUUCCUCAGCGAGAAGCAGGCAUCUGGCACCCAGCUGCUAUAACCAUGUGUCCACCAACUACCUGCUAAGAGCUGGGAGCAUGGAACAUGUUGGGAUUUAGAGAACAUAUCUGAGAAAAGAGUUCACUUCCUGCUCCCAGGAUAUUUCUCUUUUCUGUUUAUGAAGUACAACCCAUGCUGCUAAGAUACGAGCAGGAAGAGGUAUCCUUUGCUAAAUCCUGUUUGAAUAUCAUUGUAAAUAAAGCCUCUGCUCUCAGAUGUAA